UAAACAUUUUAGCAAUUUCUUCUUUCCUGCCUGCUGAAGACUGACUUCCUCCUGCUGCCAAAGUUCUAGAGUCUGGACGUCUGAGAUCAGGGUGCCAGCACUGUCGAGGUCACAGACUGCAGACCUCCUUGUAUCUUCAAAUGGAGGAAAGAGGACAAGAGAGCUCCUGUGGUCCCUUUUAUCAAGAUGAAUGCACAAGGAAAAUGUUGUACAUUUGCACAUUGGAGUACACUUCAGCCAUAAAAAGAAUGAGAUGCUGUCAUUUGCAACAACAGGCCUGAUAAUAUUGAACAUCCUUGCAUCCAUUAAAGUUUACUGUUCUAAGACUUACUUUAACCAAGGUCAACAGCAAUCUGAGACACACUCUUCUCAUGGCAGAUUAUGGGACCAUAAAGCAGGUAAGUAGUUAAGUUUUUGGCUCAGAACUAAUAGACUGAUAUUUCUUUCUACAUUUCUUUCACCAAAAUAAGUCAUGGCUAAGAGCAACAUUAAUAGUGCAAGGAAAUAUUCUACGCAUCUUCUGCCACAAGGUAGGAGGAAUUGAACAGCGGAAAACAAUAACCCAAGCUAACACACCAGGACAUUUAAUAUGUAUAGCUUUCAUUAUAAUAUAUUCAAAUAUAUAUUAAAUAAUUGUGAAUAUUUGCUUCUCCUGGUUUAACAAAAGGUAUGCCAAAAUUCACUUAUUCUGACAUCAUGGACUCUAUU
This 708-nucleotide long non-coding RNA is filed under the name Homo sapiens (human). RNAcentral describes it as "HSALNT0349165". The record is from RNAcentral. Lineage: Eukaryota; Metazoa; Chordata; Mammalia; Primates; Hominidae.